GGGGGUAUGGCUCAGUGGUUGAGCGCAUGUUUGGCAUGCAGGAGGUCCUGAGUUCAAUCCCUAGUACCUCCA
Molecule: transfer RNA, 72 nt
Filed under: Camelus ferus (Wild Bactrian camel)
Lineage: Eukaryota; Metazoa; Chordata; Mammalia; Artiodactyla; Camelidae
Rfam family: tRNA
About the family: Transfer RNA (tRNA) molecules are approximately 80 nucleotides in length. Their secondary structure includes four short double-helical elements and three loops (D, anti-codon, and T loops). Further hydrogen bonds mediate the characteristic L-shaped molecular structure. tRNAs have two regions of fundamental functional importance: the anti-codon, which is responsible for specific mRNA codon recognition, and the 3' end, to which the tRNAs corresponding amino acid is attached (by aminoacyl-tRNA synthetases). tRNAs cope with the degeneracy of the genetic code in two manners: having more than one tRNA (with a specific anti-codon) for a particular amino acid; and 'wobble' base-pairing, i.e. permitting non-standard base-pairing at the 3rd anti-codon position.
Source: Rfam by way of RNAcentral